CUUCUUUACUUAGUAAAUACUGAUGGAUCUUAUCAACGUCCAUGAAUGAUAAAUCGUAGAAACCGCCAAUUCGGAAAAAUUGGGUGUUAUCAUAAAGCUUUGUAUCCGCUAAAUUCUUGUAGCCUUGCUAGCCACUUCAUUGUAUUUUAGUGACGUGCAAUGGCACUCCAGAAGCAUUGUGUUUGCAGUACGUACCGUGCAAACAAGACCACUUAGUGAACUGGGGACAACAUGAAAUUACACCAUUAGGGAAGCAAUGAAAAGAGACAUCAACGAAUAAUGGUAACAACAAUGAACAGUAGAGAUUCAAACACCUACAUACAAGAGAUGAUAACUAGACUAAGCUUGAUGAAUCAUGCUCGAGUAACCUAAAAUGUUAAAAAGUACCGAGAAACUCAGUAACCCAGGAUUUGAUUUCUUUGAAACGUCAGGAUUUUUUAUUACUAGCUUUUCUACUUUAGCUCCAAUAGGAGAGGGACUUAUACUCAGAAAAGCCCCAGACCCAGAGUAUCAUUAAAGAGACAUGUUUUUCCUAAUGCUAAGUAAAUCUUCCUACAGAAGAAGAGCACAAUCUUCCUCUCUGAAUAUUUUUUCGAACACACAUAUGGAGAAUUUGAUAUUUUCUCUGCAUAUUCAUCAAAGACUAAACUUUCCGUGAUGAAUGUCCUCACUUCAUACCUAGUAAAUUUUCUCUUUUUUUAAUACCGUCGAGUAAGCAUUUGCACAUCUUUUACACUCACAUGAUACUCAUACAGCCAUGAGAAAGUUCACACGGAAAUGGAAUAAUAAAGAAAUAGAUCUUAAGAAAUUGUUUAAAAAGACAACUCAAUGUGGCUGGUGCAAAAUAGAAAACCAGAAGUACCGGAUGUGCGCAAGGAAAAGGAAAAGGAAAAGGCAAAAGCUAAUUAUAUUCAUAGAUUCCUCCAGUUUUUCAUUUAACUGUUCCUUUACUUGAUUCAAAAGUUACAAUUACAAUUUCUCAUUGUUUUUCUUUGUCUAGCUAGUAAUAUGAGUUGAGCUUAUAAAUCAAUCCCUUAAAUUUGCUUACCUUUUAGAAAGAGGGUAGUAAAAUAUCAAUGGACUGUACGUUUAGGAGACCACUUUUUAAAGAGAAGUUGAUAAGGACAUCGAUACAAAAAAAGUUAGGAGUAUUAAUUUCUCAGUCAAUGUUUUGUAAGUUAUACGAGAACGACUUUCAGCAAUAACAAACCAACAACAAUAACAACUAUUCAAUCCUAAUCUAGUAAGGAUCAGCUAUACUGGAGUAACCUCAAUUAUCAACCUUUUGUUCUUUUUUUUGAGGAAAUGAUUGUGAUUCAACAAACUCUUACUUUUCUUAUCUUACUGAGGAGUGAGGGCAGACAUGCCCAGCAUCCGAAUUGUUACGAAUUGAGCUAUUACAUUCUGAAUAAAUAAAGUGCAAAUUCCAAGAAAUGAGGAGAAAUCCCAAAACUCGAUUUCUAUUAUGUUUUGUAUUGAUCCCGGUACAGAGGCAUCACCAAAUCAUCCUAAGACUAGAUAAAACUUUCACAAAAACCUUUCUCAGGCAAACAUUUUGUCGAACAGCUAACGCGCAUGUAUCAAUCAGGAUCCAAAUACUCAAACACUAAAACUUUAAGCUACGAUGUUUAUUCUAAAUUCAGACCCAUAAAAAUCUUCUUCUUUUUUUAUCAGACCAAUUGGUUAUCGUUGUUCGCUCUCUGCCUCAGCCUGUGCAUACACAUACAUUUAAGCUACAACCAUGAGAAGGCUUCACCAAGAAGGAGAAAUGAAGAAAUAUUUCUUACAAAAUUGAUAAUUGUCACAGAUAGAGGACUCCAACAGUCGACAGGUGCGGUGUACAAGCCAAAGAAAAGC
RNAcentral lists this long non-coding RNA (1857 nucleotides) under Nicotiana benthamiana. RNAcentral's name for it is "long non-coding RNA (NBEN_LNC042611)". The record is from RNAcentral. Lineage: Eukaryota; Viridiplantae; Streptophyta; Magnoliopsida; Solanales; Solanaceae.